This 2463-nucleotide long non-coding RNA is filed under the name Lathyrus oleraceus (garden pea). RNAcentral's name for it is "Pisum sativum (pea) long non-coding RNA (PSAT_LNC020358)". The record is from RNAcentral. Lineage: Eukaryota; Viridiplantae; Streptophyta; Magnoliopsida; Fabales; Fabaceae.
UUGUUAAGAUUUAAUAGUUUGUUAUUAGUUUGUUAGAGUUUAUUAGGGUUGAUCCUAUUUUCAAAGUUUGUUAUAGUUGAUUUCUAGAAUUUGUUAGGAUUGAUCCUAUUUUUAAACUUUGAAAAGAUAAAUCAUCAACUUAUAUAAAGACGUUGUCAUGUAGCAUCGAUAAUAAUUAGAAUACAACAUAUUUUCAAGAUAACUUUCGAUUAUUUCUACUUAAAGAUAUCAUUAAAGAUCAUCGUGAACUAUCUCAUGUCCAGUGUUAUGUAACUUUUUGGUGUAAUCCAUCUGCAACGUCUCCCUCUCAAAAUUGAUAGGCAUCCAAAACCCAUAAAUUUGGAGCGGAUUUAUUGAUCCCUCAAAGAAUAUCAAUAUAGUUAUAUUCAUAUAAAUCUUAUGAAAAAUUAGAACCUUACAUAAUUAUAUUCAUAACUAAGAUUAAUUUUGAAAUAUAAAGAAUAUAUUAAGCAUUCACUAUACUCGAUUUAAAGAAACAUAAACAUGCUAAAUAUGCAAUUAUUGCAGAGAAUAUCAAAAUUCUCAUAUCUUUUAAAAGGGAAAGAUAGCUCUGAGUUCAAUACAAAAAUUAAUAUCAAAGAGAAACAUAAACUGAUGGUGGGAAAUAUUCGAAUUUUUUACCCAAAUAUCCCUAAUUUUCAAAAAAAAUCUCAAACUACCCCACUUUUAAGUGGAGGCAUCAAACCAAUUGGCGCCAGCUCCUAAUGUUAUAGAGGAUGCGCCAAUUGGAUUGGCUAGGGCACAUGGUGCAGUCAAUUACACACUAGACACCUCAACAUCUAACCCCCAACAACAUUGUCAGACCGACUACACACAACCCUUUAUCCGUCAAACUUUUUGUUCCACAAACACACAAACAUACAACCCUAACAUGACAUACACCUAACUACAAUACCAAGAGCAUACCCCGUACCACCACCAACAACUAGAUCAUCAACCAGAGACCCAACAUCGCUUCGCACCCAACACAUCACCCUACUAAAGUUGCCUUACCCAAAACACUCAAUGAUCAUUUAAUACCAACCGUCCUUCCUCCUACCAUAGCCAAGAAGCCCAAACAUCUCAAAACUUAAACCUGCAAUAACCCUAUCUCUACCAAAUACCACAACAAUCUUUCCAACCUUUCCUCAACGCAUCAUUCACACCAGUGUCUCCCUUCAAUCGUCCUGAUCGCCCACUAACAAGUCAAACACAACCCAACUACUCUGGCAUGGGUCAUAAACUCAACUAUGGUGGUACACCUUCGAUGCAUAAACAAGACUACGUUGAAUUGUCUGACUAUCUCAACAGGCCAUCUCCUGCAGUUGGUAGUGAUGUUCCUGGGCCCUCAGUUGCUCAAAAACCUGUGGUGAAUCAUCAACGUGAGUUAGGGCCACGUGUUCGGGUAGCUAGGGUAUGUGAGACCGAAGGUCGGUUAGGUGAUCCCGGUCAUCAACAUUAGUCUUUUUUGUGUAAACGGGAAUUUAUAUUAAUAUGAAUUGGUCCGAUUUCGAAAUUAUGCAUCAUGUGGACUAUUUUUGAAAAAAAAUUACAAAAUACAUUGAGGUGUCAAUCCAAUUGGUGCCUCCUCUCUAAGUUUAAGAGUAGACGCCAAUUGGAUUGGUGCCUCCUCCUAAAAGUGGGGUAAAUUGAUUUUUUUUUAAAUCAAGGUUAUUUUGAGAAUUUUUUUCAAAAUAUAGAUUAUUUUAGUAAAAAAUUCGAAAUAUUCUAGACUUAAAAAUAAUAUAAACUAUUAUUAAAUUUAAUUAUUAAAGAUAUUAUAAUAAAUAAUAAGAUUGAAAUGAAGAGGAGAUAUACCUAAAUUGAAGGUCAUAAGGAUAUUUUGAAAUUGAGAGAGAUAGAAGAAGACUAUUUAAAUAAAAUUAAGCAUAGCAACAUCCUCUUUUUGAAAUAAUUAUGAGAUGACAAUACAUUAAGAUAUUAUAAUUCGUAAAAUGUUCUUGGAGAGCCUUUGUAUACUCUCUUGGAUACAAAACUAAAUGCUAAAUUAUAUAUGAACAUAAUCAUUGGGAGAGAUCAGGUAAGUACAUCUACAUCGUUUAUUAUCACACUUUGCCAUCUUUGGUGGGAAGCACCCAUAUGAUGGACAAUCCUCAUCUCUUCUACACGUAGCAACUCCUGUAUUAAAAAAAAAAAUGGGUUAUAUGUAUUACGAAAAAAAAGCAUAAAAGUAAGAAAAAAAUUCAAUAUAAAAAAAAUGUAUUACUUCCAUGGUUAGGUAGCACUAAAAAUAUAGAAAUAAAAAUAAUCAUAAUAUAAACAAAUUUGACAAUUUCCCCCAUAUUUCUUCCCUUGUAUUUAAGAAAUUGUUUUAUAAUUUUCUUUCUUUUAAAGUUCAAACUCUACUUACAUUAUUUACAUUAUUUACAUUUAGUGUCCUUUAUAUAGUUGUAAAAAAUCCUUCAUAAAAGUAGAAUAAUUAUUAAGAAAAACUUCUGAUAC